GCCCUUGUCUUAUUGGAUGCAGAUCCAAUACCCACUAGGGAAGGACCCAUUAGGGUUUGACACGGGAUCUCUAUAAAUAGGAGGGAUUCACAGCCUCAUAGGCUAGAGUCUUUGCUUGCCUUUCCUAUUCUCCUCUCCCUCUCCACCUCAGAGUAGGCUUGGAGUUUUGAGGAGCGUCGUCACAACCCUGCUGUGUGGAUCACCGCUAGAGAGGAGGACGCUUGACCUCCUUCACCCUCUCCUAAGGAUCUGCAAAGAAACAGGGAUAUACGAUCUCCCUAGGUAACACAAUCUCUAUACGCAGUUUUAUGUUUCGCGGAUUUUUCGCACCAAUCUUCGCACGACGACGAACAUCUUUUUGGGAAUCGGGGAUUUUGUUUUCUUGUUCUUCCGCUGCGCAUGUGAUGUCGCCCCCAUUGAUUUCCCAAUAGAGUCCGGUAGGGAAGCGAGUCCGGUAGGGCUGCAUCAAGGCAAAGAGGAUUCUUGGUGUCAGUUCUACUUCUACAGGAAGGGACAAAGGAAAGGCGAUAGUAAAGAAUACUGUCGGGUUGAGUCACUAUAGUUCGACUCGAUGAUGAUGCAGCUAAGGUGGAGUUUGGUAGGGAAGCGGGUCCGAUAGGGAAGCUGGUCCACUUUGAGAUGUUAGAAGUGGACCUUCACGGUGAUCUGCUCGAGACCACCUUCACGGAGAUGUGUGACAGUAGUCAGAAAUGGGCUUGAAGUCUGUCUAUCGAUUUCGAGACAGUUAACCGGUGCGCGAGAAGAAAAGACUUGCUAUUGCCGAGGAGGAAAUCAAGAAAGGCUCUGAUACCAUUUUAAGAGAGGAUAAAAGAUAAGAAUUACUGAAGAAGCUAUUUCGCUUUGACAUGUUCUCUUCCUAUUUAUACAGGUUAAGAGGGAAGAUUUUUCUCAACAGAAUAGAGAGAUUUCCUUUAGGAAAAUCUUAUCUAUUAUCAAUAAGUAUCCACCUUUAUAUAUUCUUGAGUAAGUGAUAGGUAGGGAUUCAUAGGAGUGGUUUUGAAUUCAAAACGUUAUAUAGGGUUCAACCUCCCUUUUUUUUCUAUCUUUUUCUUCAAAAAGACCUAUCAAAACAACUCUCUCUCCUCUUUUCUUUUGAAUUGUGAUAGGGUGGCUUCCGUCAUAGAAAUUGUGAUGCUUUUCAGGUAGGUAGGACAAUAUUUGAGGUAAGUGGUUUCCCUAGUGUGUUUUAUUCUUUGAAAAUGUUCUCCACUUGUGUUUACAGUGUUGUGGGUUUUCAUCCCCUCCUAUCCAACAGACCUACAUUGUUAGAGAUGUAAAUAUAUUCAACCUAUCUUAGCUUUUUCGUGAAGUUAUAUUCGAUUAAAGAUCGUUGAGAAGGCAUAUAUGUUUUUUAUUUUUUUGCUUAGUUUAUAGUGUUUUCUGAAUACGAAGGGGAACUUAGUAAAGUUUUAAAAAACUAUAAAGGAUAAAUCAUUCAUUCAUUUCUUGAGUCUCGUGGUUAUAGUAAUUAUGAUUUAUAUCUCUUGGUGAUACUUUAAUGUGCUUGUCGGGUAAUUUGUUAUAAGCUGUCUCAUGUUUAAUUUAGGUUUUCCCUUAGUGCAUGAAACUAUGAAACAAGACUCUCUAUAAGUGGUCAUUUUGCAAGUUAGAAAUUCCCGCGUUCUUAUUAGUUAAAGCACCUGUUUCUCAUGAUAAUUGUAGCUAUAGUAAUUAUGAUUUAUUUAUAAUUAAGUUAUAAGCUUUAUCUCUCGAAUCAAUAUUACUUAAUGUGCUCGUUAGUAUUCUGUUUUAUACAUCCAUGCACGUUCUUCCACACCCUCAACACAAAAAUACGUAUCAUCCACUAAUUCAACGAGAAAACUCAAUCAUGGUGUUGUGGCACCGGUAGCAUCUUCCUUCUGAUCCUCCCAUUCUUUCAGCUUAUCUCGUCCACGUAGAUCAUGUCACGAAGAACACGACAAUAAUAGACAUCGGAAGCAAUCACCGGCGUUGGAUGGGAAGAAGAGACACCAUCAUGACGUUAACGCUGUGACGCAAGUCCCAAAUAUCGCUUCUCCUUCCUUCUCUAUAAAGCCAACCCUCUCACGACUCUGAAUCGAUCAUAUGUGCACCAUCGAAGACGAUAAGAUGAGGACAGUCGUCAAGAGUCGUGCUUCUCUCCUCCUCGCACUCGUCAUCGUCGUCUUCCUCGUCACAGUAGCGAGAGGGGAGCCGACCCCUGUGAAGGAAGCGUACGGUGCCGUGGCUCCCCAUGGGCGGGUAUGCUCGGGUCAGUACUACCGCUGCAGGCCGCCUUCGACCCCUUGAUAGGCUACUUCGGCAGUAUUGAGGAGGUAUAGUUCCUUUGACGACGCAAAAUAUAUGCAGGAGGCAGAUACGUACAAUAAGACUGUCUGUAUGGGAUGGUUGUGCAUGUUUGUAGUGCGUGUGUUUCAGAACCCUGUUGUGCUUUUAUACUUUGCAGGAUCUGUUGUGAAAGGUCAUAUAAAUAAAUAUAUAAAUAUAUUUAUAUUUAUAUA
Long non-coding RNA from Musa acuminata AAA Group (dessert banana), 2501 nucleotides. RefSeq lists it as uncharacterized. NCBI's taxonomy places the organism in Eukaryota, Viridiplantae, Streptophyta, Magnoliopsida, Zingiberales, Musaceae. The transcript is spliced from 2 exons. The record is from RefSeq and is a predicted model, not a curated record.